RNAcentral lists this ribosomal RNA (468 nucleotides) under uncultured bacterium. Its description in RNAcentral is "partial 16S ribosomal RNA". It matches the Rfam family "Bacterial small subunit ribosomal RNA", at positions 28 to 507 of the family's 1533-position model. The record is from RNAcentral.
GACGAACGCUGGCGGCGUGCUUAACACAUGCAAGUCGAACGGAAAGGCCCUGCUUUUGUGGGGUGCCCGAGUGGCGAACGGGGGAGUAAAACGUGAGUAACCUGCCCUGGACUUUGGGAUAACUUCAGGAAACUGGGGCUAAUACCGGAUAGGAGCUCCUGCUGCAGGGGGGGGGUGGGAAAGUUUCGGCGGUUGGGGAUGGACUCGCGGCUUAUCGGCUUGUUGGUGGGGUAGUGGCUUACCAAGGCUUUGACGGGUAGCCGGCCUGAGAGGGUGACCGGCCACAUUGGGACUGAGAUACGGCCCAGACUCCUACGGGAGGCAGCAGUGGGGAAUAUUGCACAAUGGGCGGAAGCCUGAUGCAGCAACGCCGCGUGCGGGAUGACGGCCUUCGGGUUGUAAACCGCUUUCGCCUGUGACGAAGCGUGAGUGACGGUAAUGGGUAAAGAAGCACCGGCUAACUACGUG